GGAUGUGAGGGCGAUCUGGCUGCAACAUCUGUCACCCCAUUGAUCGCCAGGGUUGAUUCGGCUGAUCUGGCUGGCUAGGCGGGUGUCCCCUUCCUCCCUCACCGCUCCAUGUGCGUCCCUCCCAAAGCUGCGCACUGGGUCGAAGAGGACGACCUUCCCCAAUAGAGGAGGACCGGUCUUCGGUCAAGGGUAUAGGAGUAGCUGCGCUCCCCUGCUAGAACCUCCAAACAAGCUCUCAAGGUCCACAUAUAUAUUCAUACAUACAUGUAUGACCACAUGUGACUUGGGGGUUCUCUCUCU
This is an unclassified non-coding RNA of Spermophilus dauricus (Daurian ground squirrel), 300 nucleotides long. Its record names the gene 7SK. It matches the Rfam family "7SK RNA". From Rfam's summary of the family: 7SK was discovered as an abundant small nuclear RNA in the mid-70s but a possible function has only recently been suggested. NCBI's taxonomy places the organism in Eukaryota, Metazoa, Chordata, Mammalia, Rodentia, Sciuridae. The record is from Ensembl.